RNAcentral lists this ribosomal RNA (497 nucleotides) under uncultured bacterium. RNAcentral describes it as "partial 16S ribosomal RNA". It matches the Rfam family "Bacterial small subunit ribosomal RNA", at positions 28 to 507 of the family's 1533-position model. The record is from RNAcentral.
GAUGAACGCUGGCGGCGUGCCUAAUACAUGCAAGUCGAGCGAACAGACGAGGAGCUUGCUCCUCUGACGUUAGCGGCGGACGGGUGAGUAACACGUGGAUAACCUACCUAUAAGACUGGGAUAACUUCGGGAAACCGGAGCUAAUACCGGAUAAUAUAUUGAACCGCAUGGUGCAAUAGUGAAAGACGGUUUUGCUGUCACUUAUAGAUGGAUCCGCGCCGCAUUAGCUAGUUGGUAAGGUAACGGCUUACCACGGCAACGAUGCGUAGCCGACCUGAGAGGGUGAUCGCCCACACUGGAACUGAGACACGGUCCAGACUCCUACGGGAGGCAGCAGUCUGGAAUCUUCCGCAAAGGGCGAAAGCCUGACGGAGCAACGCCGCGUGAGUGAUGAAGGUCUUCCGAUCGUAAAACUCUCUUAUUAGUGAAGAACAACUGUGUAAUUAACUAUGCACUUCUUGACGGUACCUAAUCAGAAAGCCACGGCUAACUACGUG